CCCGAAGCGGGCCCGGCCCGCCCCACGUGGGGGACCGGUAGGUGUUCUCGGUGGGCAUUCUGCGUGAUGCUCACCUGCUGUCUUCAUUGCGGAAUGUUAAAACUGUUUCUCAGAAGAUGAUGAUGCCAUUCGAGAAGGGCCCUUCAAACCCAGGAGGGCCGCGGAAAGGUGGCGGGGACGAGCCCGGGAAACUGCCGGAGCAGGAGGAGGAGGAGGAGGACGACGAGGAGGAGGAGGAGGAAUGCCAGGUCUCCCACGGAACCGGCCACUGCAAGUGGUUCAACGUGCGGAUGGGGUUUGGGUUCAUCUCCAUGAUCAGCCGGGAGGGGAGCCCCCUGGAUCCCGCCGUCGAUGUCUUCGUACACCAAAGCAAGUUACACAUGGAAGGGUUUCGAAGCCUUAAAGAGGGUGAACCAUUGGAAUUCACGUUUAAGAAAUCUUCCAAAGGCCUUGAAUCGAUACGGGUAACAGGCCCAGGUGGGAGCCCCUGCUUGGGAAGUGAAAGGCGACCCAAAGGGAAGAUGUUACAGAAAAGAAAACCAAAGGGAGACAGAUGCUACAACUGUGGCGGCCUGGAUCACCACGCUAAGGAAUGCAGCCUACCUCCUCAGCCCAAGAAGUGCCAUUGCUGCCAGAGCAUCCUGCACAUGGUGGCCACCUGCCCACACAAAACGGGGGCACAGCCACCCUCCAGCUCUCAGGGAAGACCGGAACCAGAGCCUCAGCCCUCCACAUCGGCGGCCGCCGUCCCCAGAGAGGCAGGAGGAGCAGCUGCCGGUCACCCGACUCCCCAGCACCAGCCGGAGGGUAGUAAGCCUGAGGCCUCCGAACGCCUAGUUUGUGUGAAAAGACCGAUUAAGUGGUAAUUCCUGGACUGGUUGCUUCUGUGGAUAUUUGUGACGCCGGGCACAGUAUUACACAGUUUGUCAAAGGAAGAGAAGAUUGUGAUGUCUUGAAGGGCGACUCACCUGUUUACUGUCAUCUUCACGGACUAACGCACUGAUCGCCCUUCUGCAAGAUCCUGUAUUUUCUACUAGCAUUUCACGCCUAAUGUCUUAUUUCUGUCAAUCAUGGAUAUUGUGAGGUUAAAGAGGAUCACUUGAUUAAAAAAAAAAAUAAACCUAUAAUGUUGCCAUUUCUAGUGGCCGUUGGAAAUUUUUCUGUGGUUUGCGUAGUUGAAGGGCCCACGCCGGUCCCUCUCCCAAACUCUUGCUCUCCAGCCCGACGCACCCAGCAGACCCGAACAUGUCAAGACAGGUCACUUUGGGUUUGAUGCGUCUUGGGAAAGACACACUUUACCAAAGCGGCUAACUGACCCUCGCAGCCACCACCCGAAACACCAAAUCCAGCUGCCCCGUACAUCGUAGCCGAAGGUGACGGUUGGUGUCAAAAUCUCUUAGCCAUAUGGUCACCCACAGUGUCGAAAGACCCAAAACCCUCGGCAGAGCUAGGUUUAUAGAAUUUUCUUGCAGUCUUUCAGAUGAAUCUUAAACUCUUUGAAAAGCACAACUGAUCAGGGCCAGCGUGCAUCAGUACCAGCCACCUGAUAUGCUGAAUGUAGAGUUAGCAUAAUUCUUUUUAAGAUGUAAGACUGUAUUUAUUAUUUAUUUACGACGUGACUCUUAAAACCUUACCAGUGCAGCUGUUGAGUUCAUCUGUCGAUCCCACCCACCAUAAAGGACAGUUAUUUAAAUCAUGUCAUUUUCCAGUAACCAUGUGAAGGAUUGUAUACUUGGAUGUUUCUAUAACGGUGAUUGUACACGUAUUUUUAUCAUCAUGUUUUCA
Molecule: RNA transcript, 1785 nt
Organism: Ornithorhynchus anatinus (platypus)
Lineage: Eukaryota; Metazoa; Chordata; Mammalia; Monotremata; Ornithorhynchidae
Gene: LIN28B
Gene name: lin-28 homolog B
Exons: 7
Source: RefSeq, a predicted model, not a curated record